UAUUCGUCUGCACGUAGGUCUAUUUUAUCCAUACAUAUUUCAGCUAACACUUCCGCUUUCAUUUCUAAAAAUUUAUCCAAAAGCUUACAGGCCUUUUGUAGUUCUGUGUUGCGUUGAAAGGUAUGGCUGCAAGCAGAAUCAAAGGAAACAAUUUCGUACUUUUUUAUCACACGCAACACCUCUAGGUCUUUCUCGAAAUCUUGUGGGCAUUCCUCUUUAUAAAUAAAGCCAAAAAAUCCAGCAAGGGUUUCGCUAUUAUGGUCAGGAAAAUGAAUGGUCUUGAUAGGUUUCUCUGUCUUGCUGUAAAACAUCUCAUUAAACACAGGACUGCUCAUGGCCAACACAAAUUUGUGUGCAUAGAAUACUUCUUCAGAUUUGUUAUCUCCAAACGUAAAUUUGAUGUCACUUAUGAAAGAGUUAUUGUACAUUGUUUCAACUUCUGAAGGUUUUGUAGGCUGCCUAAUUAUAUUCGAACUCUCGGAGUAUUUGUGUGCAUUAACUAAAUGUAUAUUUGUCAAUUCCAACCAUGUCGCCGCUAACAUCAACACAAACGACCAACUGCUUACAAAAACCAUGCUGUAUGCUCCAGAUUCGAAUGUGUAAAUCGUUUGGUAUAUAAAAUUAUAAACUUUAAACGAUAG
Paramuricea clavata is the source of this 641-nucleotide non-coding RNA. Lineage: Eukaryota; Metazoa; Cnidaria; Anthozoa; Malacalcyonacea; Plexauridae. The record is from the annotation of a GenBank genome assembly.